UCAGGUGAAAUUCUUCAAUUUCUUCUCCACCGAGGCGAACCCAUCCCCGAGGAGAACCCAUCCACCCGAAAUCCUUCUCCCCCCUUUUGCAACCACCUCGCACCUCACCCACCUUCUAAUUAUGAGCAACGGUAGACCUUCUCGAUGAGCUUCUUGUCCCGCCGUUCCAUAGCCACAUCCUAAAUGUCGUUGCUAAUGUGCUUUGGCCUACCAUGAGCGGCUUUUUGAAUGUAAUAUUGAGCAUUAGCCAUAGCACAGAGCAUUCCGGCUAUGAUUCCCAAAGGUAACGCUACUUUCAACCAUACCCACGUCAUCUCAGAUCUCUCUUUCUCCCUCGAACUCAACAAUGGUGUAGACAGAUUGGUGUUCUUUGUUUUUUGAAUGGGCUCUCAGCUACCGAACGACCACCAGUCACGAAGGAUGUUUUGAAUUUGUGAAUCUGUGAUAAUGGAUUUUUUGAUGCUCUGGUUUUGUGAUCUGGAUUGGAUUUGUGAUAUUUGAUGCAUGUUUGGGUCUAUGAUAUUUGCGAUAUUUUGUUUUUUACUUUCAUUUUUUACGCCCAAAACCAUUGUUGUCGGACUGAUGGCGGUGGACUGGUGGCGUUGGAACUCUGGUUUCUAAGCGGCGGUGCUAAGAAAAUGGAAAAUCUCCUUUUGGCUAGGCUUAUUCCGCUUUUGAUUUUAGUGUUUUAUCAUGUGUAUGAGUAUAUUGUAAGUUUGGUGUAAAUUGUGACGUGGUAGCAGAUGUGUGGAAGUCUGUUAUACAAAGAAAAGUAGCCCGACUGCUUAGAAGCGGGAUUGAAAAAAGAAAUUUCUGACUCCGGAAACUAAUCUGUUGAGAUCUUUGUCUAGGUUUAGACUUCUUAGCCCGUUACACAAAGACACAGAUCGCAGUUUAAGAGCAGAGCAAAGCAAAGCACCACACAAAGCUUACCGACCUUGAACGUUGUAAUUUGGCCUAUUUAAGGCUUUUUAACCUAUAGAGAAGCUCUCUCUCUCUCUGAACUUGAUACUUGAUAAGGAUGCCUUCAAUGGCUCAAGGAGGACUCCGAGACCCGACCAAAAACCCUAACAAACUUCACGACUGCAAGCUCGAUGCCUUCUCCGGCCCCUCUCGCUCGGUUUCCUUUCCUCAGCUACCGCUACCAUGCCAUCCACCGCCUGUCGUCUUGUUCGCUGCCUGCCUUCUACCGUCUGUGUUCAAGGACACCCAUUAUAUGAGUUGAAAUAGAGUGAUGGACAAAGAGGAAGAUAAAGGGCCACCUAAGCCUUCUACACGAAUUCCACCGACUCAGGGAUAUUAUGGUCCAAGAAAUGCUUACUACCCACCAUUUAUGAUGCAUCCAAGUACAUAUCUGAAUUCAUAUACAUACACAUGGGGUAGCCAGGCCCCACCAAUGCCACAUUUUUCAACAACGUUCAUCUACCCUCCGUUGACUAAUGCAGAGGAGUCAAACCAUCUUCAACACACGAUCCAGCCCCCAUCAAUGCCACAUUUUCCAACAACGCUCAUCUAUCAUCCAUUGACUAAUGCGGAGAAGUCACUCUCAGGCUGUGUUCAACCAAAAAGCCAGGUACUUCCUUUCUUUUCCUAACUUUUUGUCCUUGAAUAUGUGCAUUGUUACCCAUUUUAACACCGUGCCUGAUAUAAGCCCUCACCAAUGUCAUAUUUUUCAACAACGUUUAUCUACCCUCCGUCGACUAAUGCAUAGGGUUCGGGUCGUCUUCAACAAACGACCCAGCCCCCACCAAUGCCACAUCUUCCAACAACGUUCAUCUACCCUCCAUCGACAAAUGCGAAGGAGUCAGACCAUGUUCAACAACCUAACCAGCUAGGGCUGUACAAAAUACCGAAGAACCGACCGGAACCGACUCAGACCAGCCGCUGGAGAUCGGAACCAGCCAGAACUGGAGUAGAACCGGUCGGCGCACAGUAGGUUUUAUUCAAAACCGAUGUCCAGCGGUUCGGUCCUGGUUUGAAUCUGGGCCGGACCGCUGAACCGACCGAUGGUUUAAGUAUUUUUUUUAAUUUAUAAAUAUAUGAAACGACGCCGUUUCACUUAAAACUGAAGUGAAACGGUGUCGUUUUAUGGUUUAGUAUUGGACAAAAAAAUUUACACGAACGGCGCCGUUUUAACUCUAGGGUUAACACAGCACCGUUCCCUUCAUCUU
This is an RNA transcript of Carya illinoinensis, 2171 nucleotides long. It is a transcript of the gene named pre-mRNA-splicing factor ATP-dependent RNA helicase DEAH10-like, with no coding region annotated. Lineage: Eukaryota; Viridiplantae; Streptophyta; Magnoliopsida; Fagales; Juglandaceae. The transcript has 7 exons. The record is from RefSeq and is a predicted model, not a curated record.